Pyrus x bretschneideri (Chinese white pear) is the source of this 1029-nucleotide long non-coding RNA. RefSeq lists it as uncharacterized. NCBI's taxonomy places the organism in Eukaryota, Viridiplantae, Streptophyta, Magnoliopsida, Rosales, Rosaceae. The transcript is spliced from 3 exons. The record is from RefSeq and is a predicted model, not a curated record.
CCAAAAAGGGCAGCAACGCCUUGCCCUGCUGCUCCAGCUCCAUCACUGACCACCUUCUUCAGCCCCCACCAACUUGUUCAUCAGGUUUAUGUUAAUUGGGUUUGAUAGAAUUAUGUUAAUCAAGAUUUUAUUAAUUUUUGGAUUAAAAUUUGGCACUUGGAGUGGAUUAUGGAGGUAAUUUUUGGUUCUUUGCUCAAUGUACUUCAAAGGCGUGUCGUCACUUUUGAAAGAUGCUCUGGUUUAGUGUUCUGGUCUUGAUCUUAAUGCAUCAUGCGUGUGCUACUAUUGCCCCAACUCUUUGAACUUCAACUCACUUAACUAGUAUGCAAACUCGCCAUGUGACCCAUGCUUGACACACUGCUGCUUGCACUGGUGCCCCCUGUGCCAUGAGUAUAACACUGGUCAAUUGAAGCUGCUGUUCCACUGUUAUUAACAGCCGUUAGCGGCGAUUGUUGGUCGUUGGGAAAAGGUGAAAUGUAUUGCUGCGCUACCUCAACUCUCUUCAGAACACAAGGCAGCCAGCAACCACUGAAAGCCAAUUGCCGUAUACACUCAAAAUAUUGCAGAGUGCAGGAAGUUAUGGAUUUUCUGAGUUCUGAAAGCGAAUUGAAAGUGCUGCAAAUCGGAAAUGAUGUUACACGAGAAUGUGUCUUCGGGGCUAAGGAAGCGAAGGACUACACGUUUUGUUGUAUAGUUCCUAAGUAGUAAUUAUGUAAAGGCUGGUAUUGCAUUCGUUUAUUAUUUUUGCUCAUUAUUGCAAUAAGAAGCCCAAGCUGAAUAGAAAUAACAGGUUGAGUGAUAUGAAUUAGGAUUUGUUGUUGUAGGUUCUUCUUGGUUGUGUCUCCUUUUUUGUCAUCCAUUUCAAAUGAGCCCAAAAAGAAGGGACAAGAAAUUGGAGCGUAAAGAGAAAGAACACGUUCUAGUUUGGUUUUGUUGUUCCUUUGUUUUAGUUUGUAGUUGGAAGUUGAAAUCUGAUUAUAAGAAUUGUGAGUGGAAAGGAUAAGUGGCUCAAAUUCACCUGUUAUAUUU